This 492-nucleotide ribosomal RNA is filed under the name Pseudopentaceros pectoralis. RNAcentral's name for it is "partial 16S ribosomal RNA". It matches the Rfam family "Bacterial large subunit ribosomal RNA", at positions 1966 to 2610 of the family's 2925-position model. The record is from RNAcentral. Lineage: Eukaryota; Metazoa; Chordata; Actinopteri; Acropomatiformes; Pentacerotidae.
CACUUGUCUUUUAAAUGGAGACCUGUAUGAAUGGCACGACGAGGGCUUAGCUGUCUCCUUUUUCAAGUCAAUGAAAUUGAUCUCCCCGUGCAGAAGCGGGGAUAUAUACAUAAGACGAGAAGACCCUAUGGAGCUUUAGACACCAAGACAGACCAUGUUAAACACCCCUGAACAAAGGACCAAACCAAAUGAACCCUGCCCUAAUGUCUUUGGUUGGGGCGACCGCGGGGAAGCAUAAAACCCCCACGUGGAGUGGGAACACCCCCUCCUACAACUAAGAGCUCCCGCUCUAGUGAACAGAAAUUCUGACCAACAAGAUCCGGCAAAGCCGAUCAACGGACCGAGUUACCCUAGGGAUAACAGCGCAAUCCCCUUUUAGAGCCCAUAUCGACAGGGGGUUUACGACCUCGAUGUUGGAUCAGGACAUCCUAAUGGUGCAGCCGCUAUUAAGGGUUCGUUUGUUCAACGAUUAAAGUCCUACGUGAUCUGAGU